GCUGGCGGCGCGCCUAACACAUGCAAGUCGAGCGGGAAGCUUUUUAAGGAUUCUUCGGAUGAAUUAAAAAGUGGAGAGCGGCGGACGGGUGAGUAACGCGUGAGAAACCUGCCCUAUACAGGGGGAUAGCCAUUGGAAACGAUCAUUAAUACCCCAUAUGACCACAGUAUCGCAUGAUACAGCGGUGAAAACUCCGGUGGUAUAGGAUGGUCUCGCGUCUGAUUAGCUAGUUGGUGGGGUAACGGCCUACCAAGGCGACGAUCAGUAGCCGGCCUGAGAGGGUGACCGGCCACACUGGAACUGAGACACGGUCCAGACUCCUACGGGAGGCAGCAGUGGGGAAUAUUGCACAAUGGGCGAAAGCCUGAUGCAGCGACGCCGCGUGAACGAUGAAGGCUUUCGAGUCGUAAAGUUCUGUUCUUGGGGAAGAUAACGACGGUACCCAAGGAGAAAGCACCGGCUAAAUACGUGCCAGCAGCCGCGGUAAUACGUAUGGUGCAAGCGUUGUCCGGAAUUACUGGGCGUAAAGAGUUCGUAGGCGGUUAGAUUAGUCAGAAGUGAAAGGCUACGGCUCA
RNAcentral lists this ribosomal RNA (575 nucleotides) under uncultured bacterium. RNAcentral's name for it is "bacterial SSU rRNA". It matches the Rfam family "Bacterial small subunit ribosomal RNA", at positions 35 to 611 of the family's 1533-position model. The record is from RNAcentral.